RNAcentral lists this ribosomal RNA (223 nucleotides) under Mammaliicoccus sciuri. RNAcentral's name for it is "Staphylococcus sciuri partial 16S ribosomal RNA". It matches the Rfam family "Bacterial small subunit ribosomal RNA", at positions 1319 to 1533 of the family's 1533-position model. Lineage: Bacteria; Bacillati; Bacillota; Bacilli; Caryophanales; Staphylococcaceae. The record is from RNAcentral.
CAUGAAGCUGGAAUCGCUAGUAAUCGUAGAUCAGCAUGCUACGGUGAAUACGUUCCCGGGUCUUGUACACACCGCCCGUCACACCACGAGAGUUUGUAACACCCGAAGCCGGUGGAGUAACCUUUUAGGAGCUAGCCGUCGAAGGUGGGACAAAUGAUUGGGGUGAAGUCGUAACAAGGUAGCCGUAUCGGAAGGUGCGGCUGGAUCACCUCCUUUCUAAGGA